This 436-nucleotide ribosomal RNA is filed under the name uncultured Anaerovorax sp. Its description in RNAcentral is "bacterial SSU rRNA". It matches the Rfam family "Bacterial small subunit ribosomal RNA", at positions 341 to 792 of the family's 1533-position model. The record is from RNAcentral. Lineage: Bacteria; Bacillati; Bacillota; Clostridia; Peptostreptococcales; Anaerovoracaceae.
ACGGAAGGCAGCAGUGGGGAAUAUUGCACAAUGGGGGAAACCCUGAUGCAGCAACGCCGCGUGAGCGAUGAAGGUCUUCGGAUCGUAAAGCUCUGUCCUUAGGGAAGAAGGAAGUGACGGUACCUAAGGAGGAAGCCCCGGCUAACUACGUGCCAGCAGCCGCGGUAAUACGUAGGGGGCGAGCGUUAUCCGGAAUUAUUGGGCGUAAAGAGUACGUAGGUGGUUUUGUAGGCGUAGGGUGAAAGCCUGGGGCUUAACUCCAGCGAGCCUUACGAACCGCAAGACUUGAGUGCAGGAGGGGAAAGUGGAAUUCCUAGUGUAGCGGUGAAAUGCGUAGAUAUUAGGAGGAACACCGGUGGCGAAGGCGACUUUCUGGACUGUAACUGACACUGAGGUACGAAAGCGUGGGGAGCAAACAGGAUUAGAUACCCUGGUA